AGUGAACGCUGGCGGUAGGCCUAACACAUGCAAGUCGAACGGCAGCACAGUAAGAGCUUGCUCUUACGGGUGGCGAGUGGCGGACGGGUGAGGAAUACAUCGGAAUCUACUUUUUCGUGGGGGAUAACGUAGGGAAACUUACGCUAAUACCGCAUACGACCUACGGGUGAAAGCAGUGGAUCUUCGGACCUUGCGCGAUUGAAUGAGCCGAUGUCGGAUUAGCUAGUUGGCGGGGUAAAGGCCCACCAAGGCGACGAUCCGUAGCUGGUCUGAGAGGAUGAUCAGCCACACUGGAACUGAGACACGGUCCAGACUCCUACGGUAGGCAGCAGUGGGGAAUAUUGGACAAUGGGCGCAAGCCUGAUCCAGCCAUACCGCGUGGGUGACGAAGGCCUUCGGGUUGUAAAGCCCUUUUGUUGGGAAAGAAAAGCAGCAGGUUAAUACCCCGCUGUUCUGACGGUACCCAAAGAAUAAGCACCGGCUAACUUCGUG
This 492-nucleotide ribosomal RNA is filed under the name uncultured bacterium. RNAcentral's name for it is "partial 16S ribosomal RNA". It matches the Rfam family "Bacterial small subunit ribosomal RNA", at positions 29 to 507 of the family's 1533-position model. The record is from RNAcentral.